RNA transcript from Apis cerana (Asiatic honeybee), 17950 nucleotides. It is a transcript of the gene named Toll-like receptor 7, with no coding region annotated. The record is from RefSeq and is a predicted model, not a curated record. Lineage: Eukaryota; Metazoa; Arthropoda; Insecta; Hymenoptera; Apidae.
CGAUCGCACUGACACCUAACUUACUGCAUGAAACUUCAAGACGUACAUAGUUUUUAACAUGAUUCGAUAGUUUUCUGAGCACUCGCUAAGAAAAAUAUUUUUUGGAUCAAUCUUGAUGUACGUCAUACCGUUUAAAUCUAUUUUCCGAAAUAACUUAGAUUAUGUUACCAGAAAAGAACAUAAUUUCAUUUUAUUGUUUGGAAUAUUAUUAUCGGAUUUUCUUAAAAGAAGCUCUUAUCAAAGAUGAGAAAGUUAUACACAAUAACCGUCUUCGAUGUAGAAGUGCUCGCGAUAUACUGACUAAAUUUCUCGAAAGAUAGAUGUCUGAAUCGAAAACAACCUCCUCCCUCGCACGACGGCGUCGGCGUCGAAAUGCUAAGGAUGUUGUAUAUUGAAAUAUAUGCAUUUAUAUGCAAGAAUGAGAGAAGUCAAAUAGAUCCGAUAAAAGUCAAAUAAUAUAGGAUAAAUAAAUAAUGCCAGAAAAUCAUUAUUAUCGCCAUUGAACAAAAGAUUAGAAGACUUUAUAUUGGAAGAUACUUUUGAAAUGUGGCAACGACAAGAAAACUGGGUAACAACCUUGGCAGUAACGGGACUAAAAAUAUGAAUUCGUUCUACGUUAUGGCCGGUACCUCGUAUACUAGAGGGGGUUCGUUUUAUGUUAAAGUUAAAUUUGGCGGCGUUCCAAACGGUGCUUGGGAAUAAAAAAGAAGAAAAUUUCCCCCCUACUGACAUUAUUCGGGCAUAGUCAGGCCUACUUCAUUCUGGCCUUUGCCGAGUUCAUUUCGUUCGCGGUGUUAUUCACUCCAUGGAAUGUCUUCGAGUAAAUGAGCUGUAAAAGAUUAUUAAGGAGUCAGGGAAAAAAGGGAAAAGAAUAGAAGAAAAAUUCGUUGGUGAAUCGCCAGAAAGGUUUUUCUCGUUUUGCGGAUAGACCGCUCGUUUGAGUGAAUUACGAUCAAAGAAGUUAUUUGAUUUAAUGACAAUCAUUAAAAAGUAUGCGAUUAACCGAGCACGGACCUUGAAAAUAGCAUUCGCUGGAUGAUAGAUAUCACCUGAACCGGAGAGUCCUCCUCGAAGCAAACGUGACAGAAGAUUGUAACGACCAUAUGUAGACCAUGUGUCCUCCGGCGGCUUAAACAGGGUAGGAUUCCUACGAAUAAAUCAUCUUUUCUGGAGAAAUUAGCGGCUAUGUUGAUCACGUGGUAGAAAAACACGUGUAUUCCACUCUAACAUCUUGUCCUUUGUUAAACAAUUUUUUAAUAACGUGACAAGUUUUCACAUACUUCAGUUAUACAGAUUUCAAUUACAUCUUGAACGUGAAGAUGAUAUUUAUUAUUAUUUAACAAUUGAUUGAACAGAUUGAAACGAAUGAUCGUGAAAAGAAUAAAACUAGAUCAUGAUAUAUGAUGCAAAAUCGAAAAAUCAUCCGAUCAAAAACAUAAUAGCUUACCCUUUCAAAAAUUUAUAAGUUUUUGCCUUAUUGGUACCGUCGUCGAUAACUUUCACGUAAUAGUACGAGUAAUUCGACAUCUCUUUAAUAAUGAUACUUCAACAAUAAAUAUAACCGACUAACAGUAAAUAGUCGCGAGAUUCUCGAAAGGGUGGCACAAACGCGCACUGUUCGCCGAAAACUACACUCGAAUUGUCGUAGUGUACCCCUUCUUCUUCGUACCAUCGAUGCCUGUGCUUCUAUCCGUUUGUCUGCUCGUUUGUAGUUUUCUUCGGUUAUGUAUAUACAUAUAUUUUCAGAUGCUUGUACGUCUACACGAAACUGGUGGAGCAGCUACCGACAGUAGAUUGUAAUAUAAAUGAAAUGACAAUGUUAUUUUUGUUCCUCGAUAGAAAAGUUUCAAAAGCUGUGUUGAACAUUGAGCUUUGAUUAUAAUGAAAUUUACUUUUUCGAUAUAGAAAAUAUAAUAUAAUACAUUUUACUAAUUUUACGAUGCUAUGAUAUAUUUGAGAGAUUAUUCAUACAAGAUUGAUAACACUAAAAAUUUUAAUUCGUCAUUUUACUUUAUUUUAAUCUCAUUUCAUUCAAACAAUUCAACAAAAUCAUCAGUUUUUCCCAGUGUCGAUUUCCAUAUCUGCUUGAUUUUUUCUUCAAAGUUUCCCGUUGAUGAUCCAAUAAUAUAUAAUUUAAUAAUUCAAUCAAACUAGUAGUCUUAAUAGUAGAGUCUUCAUAUUUUGAAUAAAAUUUUAGACAAUCUAUAUCUUAACAAAAUAUUUUAUUUUUAAGCAAAUAAAUCUGUCUAUUUACAAAUAAAUUAUUAUUUAUUUUAGCAUUCAUUUAUUUUUAAUUUAUAAAUACUUUUUAAUAUUUCUAUUUUAUUAGUCGUCUAAAUUUCAAAUAUGAAUGCAUUUAAUGAUAUGAAGAUCAAGAAUUUGAAAUUUGUUUUUUUUCACUAUAUUAUUUACAAUUAAAAUCAAUAUCAUAUAUAUCCAUUAUCAAAUCAAUCAAAUGAGUUUUUAAAUAAAAAUAUUAUAUAUAAUAUCUAAAUAAAUAUAUAGAUGAUAGCUAAUUUAAAACAAACUUUUAAAUAAUAAUUUGAAAAAUAUUAUAAAAUAUGUAUACAUAUUUUUUCUAUUUUAAUUAAAUAAGAAAAAACAAAACGUGAUUAUCUAUCCGUUGAUAGUAAUUUUAAUUAAUUAAACGAAAUGAAUGAGAAAAAAUCUUCUUUUCCUAGAAAUGACUAAUAAUUUAUCUAUUUGAGGAUUAAUUUCUAAAGCCAGGAAAGAAUAUAAUAGAUAUGUAACACGUCAAUUAAUUGACAUUGACUGAUAUAUAUUGAAUACCAUUUUUCAAUCUAUCGAGAAUAAUGAAUCACGAAUAAUAAUACAUUGUUUUCCACAAACAUGUCUUUAUUACGUUUCACGUACAGAUAUAUGGUGGUUGACUUUCAUACGCUGCGCGUACGUAAAGUACGUCGUCGUUGUAAGAAAAAUAAAAAAGGGCCAGUACUCUUUUUCUCGUUUCGAAAGGUUUGUCUUUUCGUUUGCCCAUUCCCCCUCCCCCCAUUUUUUCUUUUUUCUUUUUUCUUUUUUUUUUUUUGCAGUUAACGAUCGUAUACAACAAGAUCGAUGUUAAAAGUAAAUGGACUUUUCACCAUCCGUCGUUCUUUCACAAGCUAACAACGAGUCAACGAGGUAGGUGAGGAUAUCCUAUUUUAUUUCAUUUUUGCAUGCACCAACAGUCAGGUAAUUUUUUCACGGCAAGAACGUUGAUAUCAAUCGGAUUUCUCGGUUUGAUCUGAGAAAUCGAUCACCCUUUUUUUCCCCUCUUUCUUUUUUUUCUUUUUUAAUAAUUAAACGCUUUUGGAGAAAUUACGAUCGUUGUUCGAAUGAUAUAUUAUUAUUUAAAUCAUAAUAUAUCGAUGAAGGCGAUUCGACCAGCCUUGCCUAAAGUUUUCUGAUAAAUAAAUCUAUAUAUAGAAUAUACAUAUUAUAAUUAUACAUAUAAUAUAUAUAAUUAUAUAUAUAUAAUAUAUACAUUUAUACAUAUGUAUAUGUAUACGUAAAGGUUUACAGGUAUGUGUAGAAAGAACGCCAUAGGCGUACAUUUUUUUCUUUUCUUUUUUUUUUCUUUUUUUUUUUCUUAUUUUUUCUUUUCCUUUGGUGUAAAUUAAGUCUUGUGUAUAUAGCGUAUUGUCUCUCUCUCCCUCUCUUCCGUUCUCUCUCUCAUACACACACGCAUUCUCUCAUUUAAACUCUUCAUCUACAUAUAUAUAUAUAUGUAUAUAUAUAUACAUAUAUAUAUAUAUCACACGUUGUGUACAUCGCUUGUAUCUUUAAAAAAUGUUUCAUACAAUUACACGAUAUUCGCGAUUUGACGAUCAUCCUGCAUAUACUUUAUAAAGGACAAGAAGGAUCCCUAAUUGAAUUUUUCUGGAUAAUCCUUCUGCAGGAGGAACAUCGAUGAUAACAGCUCGUUAACAGCUAUAUCUACAUAGUUUCUUUCGUUAAUUUAUAUUUGUUAAUUUAUAUCUGUAACUGUGAUGUGUGGUAAUGUACGUAUAUGUCGAAUAUUCAAUGUAUUAUUGAACAUUACAAUGAAGUGUAUUUGUAUAGGUACGUGAUUCGUUUCAGACUUAAUACUUUGAAUUUUCUUCUCGGUUUUAUUUUUUUUUUUUUUAUUUUUUUUUAUUUUUUUCUUUUGCGUACGUAUGUUAAACAUUACGAUAGUACGUUUCAUUUUUUCUAAUUCUUUCUUUUUUCUUUUUUUCUAUUUUUUUAAAUUCUUUUACAUGUAAUAUGUAGAUACGUAUAUAACUUUACGCCCGCAAGUGUGUAUCGUAAGUGUGUUCGUGUUCGUGUGAGUUUUGAGAAAAAGGAUUUAGUUGAGUUUAAUAACGGACGACCUCAAGCUCAUAAUGUUUCAUUUUUGUUUUACAAUUCCUUAUAUUCGAUAUAUGCUACUAUAAAUAAAUUUUAUCGAUGAUUAUUUUCGUUCGUGUCGCCAUAUGAUGAAGGGAAUUCACUUUGAAGCUUCUAAAAAAUAAAUAAAAACAUAAAAAAACUUUCUUAUUUAUAAACUAAAAUAUUACCUAAACUACGAUAGAUUAAAAAAAAAUUCUCUUAUUUUUUAAAAACUUCUAUAUUCCCCUAAUAUGCAUCAUAAUGGAGAAUGCGUGACCAUCCAUUUAAUAAACUCAAUUAAAAUCUUUCCUCUGGUAUAUGGAUAAAAAUAACUUUUUUUCACGUUUAAAAACAAAAAGGAAAAAACAAAGAAAAACAAAAAGGAAUGAAAAAAUAAUACCAAUUCAUUUGUUCAAGAAAUUUCCACUUAUAGCAACGUUUCUUCGGAGUAUACAUGACGCGAAUAUUCUUCAUUUCGUAUCCAUAAAAAUGAUGAUGAUUCCUUGAAACGUAUAGCCAUAGAAACUGCGUUUACAGUUGCGGAACGUCGCAAUGAUUUAGUCGAAUGCAUUGUAACAUUGACUAUCGGGGAAUUCUGUCACUCCCCUUUGUACAAAUUUCAGCAAAAGCAUUCCUCUUCCUUUGGAAGCUCAUGACCCAGAAGAUCCUUCGUGUGAAGAACAGAGAGACGAUAGUUCCAUCAUACAUAGAACUGCGAUUAAACGAAUUUUAGGGAUAAGCAUCGCUGGAUUUUGGAAAUAAAAAAAGACACAACAUCGAGUAUCACGAGUGUGUAUGCUAAUCCUGUGCACUCGAAUCGCUUCACUGUGAGAUUAAUCACAGAUUAAUUUAAAGAGAAAAUACAAAAUUCUUGUAAUAAUAAUAUUUUACAGAAUGAGAAAAUGAAGGUAAGGGAGUGCAAAGGGUUAUAUGUGUUUUACGUGUUAGAUGAUGAUGAUUGGAAAAAAUAAUGGAUAUUUCUUAAAGAGUAAAAAUAUUAGGAUGGAUAUUGUAAUGGAUAUUUAUGAUGUUUAUGAUAAUUUGACAGAAGUACAGUUAUAUACGAUAUAAUUGUUUCUUAAUUAAUAUUAAUUUGUUUUUAAAUUAUAAUAAUUAAUUUUUUAUAUAAUAUAUAAAAAAUAUAUAAUAUAUAUAUAACUAUUACAUACAUAAUUCUCUUCUGUCAAUUAAUCAUAAUCCUAUAAUCUUCUCUCUUCCUUCACAUAAAUAUUUCAUAAAAAUAUUUAAAUUACCUUCUUGAUCUCCAUGCUGCCAGGGGUACUUGAACGCUGUGGUGGUGGCGAGAAUGCUAUUUUUUCGUACGGUAUCGUGCCACGACACAGAGCACUAGGAUCCAAACUGAGCGCAGCCUUUAGGGCGUUUUUCUUUAACAUUCCAUUAACAUUAGUGGCGCUCGUAUUUAGGCCAGUGUGACUAGGGGAUCGACUACGUGUGUUCGGUGACGAAUUGAUCGUAUCAGGCGGUGUAUCCGAGGAAGCAACGAUUAAAGAAUCAGAAUUGGUCUCAGUGGUAGUUAUGCUUUCAUUGCCAUUCCUUCUAUCUAUGUCCGUAAUAUCAACCGUGCUAUUUCGACGAUUCUCGAUACUUGAUGCACGAUUAUUACCAUUAUCCGUGUUCCUUAACCUAUUUUCGAUGUCCGUCGAAGUUCGAUGUACGCUUUUCUCCUCGCAAUUUAAAUUGUCAGCCUUAUGUUUGUUCUGUAAAUUUGUUGAAAUCGUUAUAAUCGUUAUUGGAAUAUCAUUUUGUUAAUAAACUGCGAAUUUAUACGUUUAUAUGAAAUUAAAGUAUAGAAAAAUAUACGGCAUACAUGGAAAAGUAUAUGAAUUAUCCAAAAUAAAGUAAGCAUUAUAAUAUUUAAUUCCUUAAUGUUCCAAUUUUUUUUUCAUUAAAUUUUCAUUCAAAUAUUAUUUUGUAACGAUUUUUUACAAAUAAUAUAGUAAAAGUAGGUGUGAUAUAUAAAUUAUAUAUGAUAUUAAUAUAUUCGACAUCUUUGAAGAGUUAAGGUUAGGAGAAAUACAAAAGUUAAUAUAGAAUAAAAAUAUUCAUUAAGAUUUAUUUUAUAGUUUAUGAGCAGUUUAAAUUUGUUAAAUGAAGUAAAAUAGAGGUAUGAUAGAGGUAAGAACUCUGUUUCUUAGAGUUUUAGUUUUUAAAAUCAAUUCACUAAAUAAAAGUGUACCACGAAUAUAUAUCAACCAUCUAUAUUUUGAUAUAAGAUAUUCUAAUUUAAGAAAAAUAGGCAAAUAAAUGGCAAAUAGGUAAAUAUAUUAUAUAAUUAUGAUCUUAAAUAUGUAAUAUUACAGAUAUGAACAUUAAGGUAUUAAAAAGUAAGAGAUUUCUUUAGAUUUAAAAAAAAAAACAAUAAAUAUAAAUUUGCAUAAAAAUUCAUAAUUUAUUUAUUAUAUUGGCUAUUAAUACAUUACAAAGAUUUAUGUGAUACAUAUAUAUUUAUAAAAUUUAAUAUAAUUUAGAUAAUCACUUUAAUAAUUGUAUAUUCUAUUAAUAAUAGAGAAGGAUUUUCUGCAUUAUAACGUUUAUAUUAAAUAAUCAAAGUUUAAGCAAUGUUAUAAUUAGAUUUGUUAUUAAAUUUUUAUUAUUGUUAUUAAAUUUUUAAUAAUAUACUAAUUUAAAUGUUCAUAAUUAAAGAACUAUUCAUUAAUGUCGGAUGGACUAGUAACUAUAAAAGUUUGAUUUCAGUUAUUUAAUUUUAGAAUAUUUCAUUUGAAUUGAUAUUGUAAGUAUAUUUUAUAUAAUAAAUGUUGAUGAUAUUCUUAUUUUGUAAAAUUUAAAUUUUAAAAAAAUUAAAAAAUAAGUAUUUUUUUGUUUAAUAGAAUAAUAUUUUUGUGGUUUAAUGAAAACCACAUUUAUAUUGAAUAAUAAUUGAAGUAUAAAUAUUUUAGUACAUAUAUUUAUAUUAAUAGCCAAUAUAUUAAAUAUUACACUUUUUAAAUAUUUAAUAAUAUCUUAAAAUCAAAAAAUUAAUAAAUGAUUAUGAAAAUUAAUAAAUUAAUAAAAGAAAUAAUACACAAAAAUAAAAAAUAUAGAUUAACAAGUAAUAUGAAUGUUUACUAAUGAAAAUAAAACUAACUCUUACAUAUAUAAAAAAUUAUUCACACAAAUAUCACAUUAUGUAUAUAUUAUUUAUUUAAUAAAUGAUUUUUUAUUCAUUUUUAUAUUAGCUAUCAUAAUCUAUAUAUCUAUUAAUGUAUGUAAUCUUAUAAAUCAAUAAAUAUAUGAUAACAUAAUUGCAAUUAGUAAUUCAAUUAAUUAAUUAUGUAAAAUAUAUUAUAAAUAUGAUGUAAAUAGAUAUUUUUGUGAAUAACAUUUUAACAAAGCAUUUAAUUCCUUAAGAAAUAUCAAAUAAUAAUAAUAAUUGUAAUAAUAAUAAUAAUAAUGAUAAAUAAUAAAAUUCCAUUUAGUCAAAGUGAGAAAUAAAAGUUCAUUUAAUCAAUAAUAAAAAAAAUAUAUGCUAGAAAAUGAAAUUUUGUACAAUCUUUAUCCAAUAUACCUCUGAAUGAAUAUUUUCAUCCUUAAAAUCUUCGCGACUCGCGUUUCCACCCAAGGUUUGUUCAGAAUCUGUAUUAGUGCCAUAUGGAAUUGAUUGAAAUCGUCCUUGCAUAUUAUUUCUUUCAUUCGAAUUCAUUCGAUUCGGAUUUUCGUUUCUGAGAUUAGGAUUAUUGCUCGCAAUAGCUUGAGCCAUGCGUUGACUAGCUGAUCGAGAAUCGAUAAUUCUGGGUUGCAUGUAUCCACAUGCAUCCAGCUAUAAAAACGGACAGUAUUCUAUAAUGUUAUAUGUAUUCGUUGUUCGAAGAAGUAUCGCGGAACAAAUAUGAAGAAGAAUACAUCAAGUUCGAAUAUAAGUAAUCGAAAAAAUGGAACGUUAAACAAUAUAUACUUACUUCUGACUGUACAUUGAUACAUUCUGUUUCUGGAUCAGGUCUCAUUAUCGUCACUUCACGAUCGCAGAUUGGCAAAAUAUCGAAAUUGGGGGUUGGAUGAUUUAUCACAUCAGGAUCCUAAGCAUAAAAAUUAGAAUUAUUGAUUGAAAUUCAUUGAAAUCAUAAUUCUUAUCUUAAUUUUCAUUAAUAGUAUAAUAAAAUAUUUAUAUUAUUGUAAAUUAUUAUAUGCAAAAAGAUUGUAUCUAAUCAAGAGAUUUUGAGAUCAUGUGAGAUUUUAUUUCUUAUUAUUUGAAAAAGAUUUUUUAAUUAAUUAAUUGUUUUUACCUGUAAACAGUAACCAAUUCUCUCGACGAUAGUUGCAAAACUAGGCCGGUCUUCAGGGCGUGGAUGCCAACAUCGUGUCAUUAAUCCAUAAAUAGGAUCAGGACAUCCUGCAGGUUUUUCCAAACGACCUCCUAACGUUACCAUUGUCAUAGCUUCUCUAUUAGUACAACCAGUGUAAGUUUCAAACAAAUUUUAUUUAUAUUCACAAAUAUAUUCCUUGAGAAUAUUUUUAAUCUAUCUGGAUCGAUUAUGCAAUGGACUCUUAAAAAAUUUGAUUCUUUUAACAAAACAAACAUUUGUUCAUAAUUUUAAUAAUAUUUAUCGCAUCUUACAUGAAUACUACGAAAAUUUACAUAAAAAAAAUCUAAUAAUAAAUACGAACUUGUUAAAUAUAAACGAAGUUGUUCCGUAAUUCGAGAUGAAACUCACCAAACAUCAGUUUUCGUAGUGAAUAUUCCAUCUAGAAAACUUUCUGGUGGCAUCCAUUUAAUCGGUAACAUCGCCUUGCCUCCUUUUCUGUAAUAAUCGCUCCUAUAAAUAUCCUUUGCCAUCCCGAAAUCCGCGAUUUUCACUAUACGACCGGGUCCCUUAGACGUGAGCAAACAAUUUCUCGCGGCGAUAUCUCGAUGAAUAAAUCGGGCCUCUUCCAUAUAUUUGCAACCGUUCGCUACGUCAAAUCCGCACAUUAUCAAAUCCUGCAUCCUCAACGAAGUGGGCCGAUCCUGCCAAAACAGGAAUAUACGCAUGCACCCCAUUGAUGACGAGCGGCAAAAAUUAAGAGUUGACCCUGUUUAAAUUGCAAUCGAGAACGACACAUAGUUAACAAAAAGUAAUGGAACUUAAUAGAAAAAUUAAUAAACAAGAUUCGGUGAUUAAAAUUAUGAAAUAACGGAACAAAAAUGGAAACAACUUAAUUGUGAAUUUAUUAAUUCAAAUAAAUAAAACGUAAGAUUCUUUUAAUUGUAAAGUAAUAUACAGAAAUAAUUAGAGAUUUUUCGAAUUAGAUUGAUAAAUCUCUGUUCCUUUUCUUCUCUCUUGGAAAAAAAGAAAACUUCAUAACAUAAUAUAAAUCGUUACGUUAUCUUUCAUCUAUAUAAUUAGCAUAUAUAUAUAUAUUAAAAUACAACGAAUUUUACGAAAUCGAUCCAAUAUUUGAAAGAAAACGCUAUUUACCGCGCGUGGUCUUUCUUCUCGAAGAAAGUUCUUCAAAUUCCCUCCAGCGAGCAAUUCUAACACGAUAUACUUUGGAUUUCUCUCGAAAGAAACUCCAAUAAAAUGUACGAUAUUGGGAUGAUUAAAUUUGCUCAUUAUCAGAGCUUCCAUCAUGAAAUCAGCUUCCGUCUGAGGCCUAGACGAAGAGGGGAUUGCCUUCACAGCGACAGGUUGUUCUUGAUUCCGUCUAUAUCUAUACACACCUUGAAAAACUUCGCCAAAAGCUCCUUGACCAAGCGGUCUACGAUACAAAAUAAAACAAUUAAUUUAUCGAAUUGAGAAGAAAGAAGAACUGAUCAUGUAUUUUUUUUGAAAAGUUGAGUCUUAACCCUGAGAUUGUAUCACUGUGGUUAUUAAUGAUCAUUAAAUUUAUACUUACCUUAUCAAAGUUAUACAUUCGCGUGGGAUUUGCGUCAAGUCUUUAAAACUAUAAAGAUUUCCAGCGAACUCAUAGUUCGGAUUGAAUUCGGUCAUUAUAGUGUCGGAAACAGCUUGCAGCGACGUUAAUUCAGUUCCGUUACCAAACAUUACUUGUCGCCGUUGUAUAAGCGCCUUUCGAUUUUGGUAACGAUUAUCUAUCGACAAAAGUGAGAUUUCGCUUACAUGAUAUAUAAAAUUAUAUCCAUACGAUCGUCUACUUUCAAACGUUCUUUUUAUUAAAAAAGUUUCACGUUUAAGAAAAUACGAAAUUUCUAAGAUUACAGAAAACAAUGUAUGUUACAAUAUUAUCGAAUAAUUUCUUACAAAGUAGUAGGCAGAGAGCGGUGAAAGCAAAGAGUAGGCCAAUGCUUACAACUAUAAGGGGUAUCAUGAACGGUUGAUGCGUAACUUUUGAAUCACCUAAAACAUUGUCAUCGGCUAAAAAUAAUUAUAUCAAUAUUAUUUUAUUGCAAAGUUAUGCUCCAAAGGAGAGAAAGAAAUAAUUUUAUUUUUUUUUUCUUUAUGAUACUCACGAACACAAGAUCUUGAAUUAUUACUCAAUAACCAGCCUGAAGGACAGAGACACUUUGUCUCGCUAAGGUACUGAUCGAGAGAGAUGCAACGGAAGUCACAACCACAACCACUGAUAGCAGGAAUGAUGUAAACCUCUCCUGGCCCAUGAUUUAUUCCUGACAGGAAGUGAACGUACAUAAGCUCGCUGCUGGCGUAGGAGUAACCACCUUCACCGUUACCAAGUUCCUUGUGACCGGUAUUACCACCUAAAUCAUUAUGUAAUUGAAUUAUCAAAGAGUGGUCAAGAUGAAUUGAAUUAUCAAGAGUGGUCAUACGAUUCAAAACAUGAAAUAUAAUUGAAUAGUACAAGAUAUUUUGAAGGAUAUAUUUGCAGUUAACUAUAUAUUAAUUUCAAUAUACAAGUAAAACUUCAUUUGUAGUGAAGUUUUAAAUUGUAUCUGAUUAAUCAGAAUCCUGCCAAUUGAAUCUAUUUAUCUGUAUCUUAUGUGAAUAAAAAUAAUAUUUCCAAUUAUAUUCAGAUACUUCAAACAAUCCAAAUAAUGAAAUAUUAUAUAUGGAACAUAGCAAACAAGCAUUUAAAUGCAAUCAUUGAUGAUUGAAUCCUAUUACGAUAUUAAAAGUUCGACAAAAAGUAAAGAAAAAAAAUUCUUUUCAAGUAUUGAAACGUAACAUAUAUUGUACAACAACAUGGAACAGCUACAUCCAAUUAUCCCAAUUAUUUCAUCUGUUCCGAAUUCCAAAUGCAUGGGUAAUUGAAAGCGAUAUAAAUGAAUUCUAGAUUCGGUUUAAAAUCGCGUUAAUAUUGAUUCUGUUACCUAUGUAGCCACCUCCACCACCUCCAGUAAGACAUCCACCACCGCCGCCGCCGAAUCCUCCGUUUCCGUGAUUUCUAGGUCCGCAACCAAUUCCGCCUACGCCACCCCUAACAAGGGGCGCGCCUGCUGUAGUUCGUUGACCCAUACCCGAUGACUCGUUCAAUCCUCCACCUGGGCCGCCUGGGCUAUCUGGGUAUACACCAUUACCAGAUUUAUGUAAUUAACACAGUUUCGAAGCAGUUAAAACUAAAUCUAGAUCGAUGCGCAUCAUAGACAGCAACGUUCACGUUGCCUCUAAAACUAAAGUAUCGUACAUUGAUGCGAGAAUCUGAAAAUUGUUCUCUCGCGUUUGCGUUUAAUUUGAGAAUGUCAAACUGAUAGUGAACUUUAAAUUAAAAAUGACUCACGAGAAAUGACGUGGAAUUUCAAGUCUUUCUUUCAUUCAGAGGAAUAAAAUUUAUCCAAUUAUCUUGUAAUUUAAUUAGAAAUUUUUUUAAUUUCAAUCGAUUGAGAAAUAAUUUUUCGAAAUUAUCGGAUAAGAAGUUGGAAAUGUUAAUAAAACGGAGGAUUAUAGUAAUUAUUAAAUUAUGAAAUAUAAUCAAUCCUAAAGAGAUUGAAAAUAUGAGACACAAUGGAUGCAUUUGUAUAAACGUUAAACAAUUAAAAAAAUUUUAAUGAUUGUUCAUAUUGGUACACAAUUAAUGAUAAUGAUUAAAUAUAUAUUUUAUAACAGAAAAGAUUUAAUUUACAUAUCAAAGUGAAGUAAUAAUUGAAAAUCUUUAUACUUUAUAGUAUAGUAAAAAUAUAAAUCAUAAAUUUUUAUUUACCUGCUUGUGAUGAAAGAACUGUACCCGAAGUAGGUUGUCUUCCAGGAGGAGCGGGUCCUCGACCAUGUUGAUGGCCAUUGUCAAUAAAUUGUCCUAAUCCUAAACCACCUCCACCUCCUGCGAUAACAUCAACGAUUUUGCUUACUGUAAAAAUGUACGUUGCACCACCACCACCACCUCCACCAUCUCUUAUCUUCAUCCUUCUUACUUCAUGUACUUUGGAAAUUCCUAAGGAAGAUUCAUAUGCAGGGCCUUGACAACUGUCUAAUUUCUGUCCCAAGAUCUGAAAAUGAAAGAUGUACAAGAAAAACUUUGAAAAACUGUAUAAUACAAGAUUUUAAAAGAAAUCUUAUUGAAAUGAAAAGGAUGGAUCAUUUUCACAAGAAAUCUCAAAACUGUUUGAAAUUCAGGAAAGUUUCAUUUUGAAAUUUUUUAAAGAAAGAAAAAAGUGAGAAAAAAGAAUAUUAUAAUAUUAUUAAAACUCGAAUAGUAUCGGAUUCAAUUCAUCUCUAGAAGUAAAUAAUAUUAAUCAAAUUAAUAUUUUAUUCGUUUUUAUAUUAAGAUAUAUAUUUCUUACUUUAGGACACGCAUCCAUUCCUGCUUGCCCCACCAUGAAAUACAGUUGAUCACCCUUUUCUAAUUCGAUUACACCACGGACAAGUGCACCCAACGUGCUUCCCAUACCACUAGAACCUUUUCCUCCACGGGCGCCCAUUCCAAUUAAACUACGUUUAUAAUAUAAAUUGUCUUAAUAUUAAUAUUGUAAAUAACAAAUAGGAGAAAUUAGAAUGAAUUCUUACGUAUAAUAUCCACCACGAGGUACUAUCCAUCGUUGAAUACCAUUUAAAUUGAAAGAAAGGGGAUCUUCUUCUGGUGAAGGUGUAACUAAUUCUAUGUCUGUUCUAUUGUAUUCCUCGUUACAUUGCUCAGAAUUGGGGCCUAUUCUUCCUGUAUUUCCACAUGUGGUAAUAUGUAUAACUGAAAAUAUAAAGAGUUAUACACUGAUGAGAUGCGUAUUACUGUAUAUCGUAAUAUGCAAGCAUUUAUCCAAAUUAAACGGCGAUUGUUAUAAUUUUUUUAGAAGAUGUACCAGUUUCGUUAACAAAGUCUGUGUGUUGAUCAGGGAUUUUUUCCGAAUCAAUGACGGGGUUAGAAUAAUUGAAAUCUCCUACGACUUCAGGAGGAACUCCUAAUGAAAAAUGAUACAUAAUUAUUUUAUUAAAAUAUGUAUACUUUUGAUUAUUAAUUUUGAGAAAUCAAGAAAUUUGGAAAUUUACCAAUGCCAAAACAUUCUGGACUUAGGGAAAAAUCAUCGAUCGCUACAUCAGCUUUUGAGUAAUAUCCUCUGCUUGCCUCAAAUUGAAGAAAAUAUCUAUGAACAAAUUAUAUAUAUGUAAAAUUUUACAAAAAUUUACAAAAAAUUAAAUUUGAGAUACCUUUAAUAGGUAAAGUAAAGAAACAGCUUGUUUGUACCAAACGUCAUUUCUGUCACCACUAAGAUAAGUCCACCAUAAUCGGUCGUAAUAUUGGGGUUGAUGUGGUUUUACUUGAACUAAAUACAAUCCAAGAGAACCGCUGUUUGCACCAUAUUGAUGAUAAAAAAACCGUACCUGUAUAAUAAAAACUUUGUGGAUCACCAUUAUAAGGUGGUGUAGGAUUGUACAAUGGACUUUCAAUAGUACCAUGGCUACCAUAUUCUACUUUUGGUGACAUACUUACAUACGCGUAUGUCCCUGAAAUGGAAAAUUAAAAUUAAAUAAUUAAAAUGAUUGAAAUUUUAAAGUAUCAGAAGUAUUUUUAAUGAAGAUAAGUGAAUUUUUAAGUAUUUAAAUUUAAAUACUUGUACUUUCAUCUUUGAAAAUUAUUAUAAGGAAAAAAAAAUAAUAUAAUUUUUAUCCCUAAAUAUUAAUAAUAUUUAAAAUUUUAGGAUUAAAAUAUAAUUUUUUAAUUUAAUAUUAAAUCUUAAAUAUUGUAUGAUAAUUUGAAAUGAAUGAAAUUUUUAUCAAUAAGAAGAAAAAUGUAAUACAUAUAUGGAAUUUUAUGUGGUAUAUAUUAAAUACCUUGAUAUGAAUAUUUAAUGAGAUUCCAUAUUUAUUCAGAUGAAAUUAUUUUUAAAGAUAAAAAAUUAUUUUUAAUAAAAAAAAAAUUUAUAUACAAAGAAAUAUUACGUUCAUGAUAUUAAUAUUGCAUAUUCAAAAGGAUGCAAGUAUAAUAGUAAUGAAAUAUAAAACUGUCAUCAAUAACAAUAUGCAAUGCAAUUAAUUCAAAAUUAAUCAAUGGAAAAUAAUAAUAAUAAAAAAAAGAAACAAAUUUUUGUAUAAAGAAAAUGACAUCUUUUCAUAAAAAGAUAGUAUACUCUUAUAAUUUCAAAUAAUUUUGUCCUCCUGUACAUUAUAAAUACAUAUUUUUCACAUAUUUUCAGAUAUAUUGCAUAUUCGGGAUAAAAGAGUUAAACGCGCUACAAUAAAUCCAGACAAAUGUAUUUAAAACCGAGCGAAAAUGGAAGUUUCAUUGAAACGUGCACACAUAAUAUGUACAUACAUAUACAUAACUAUAUACGAACCGGACGCAUUGCGGUAUGUAUGAUCGUAACUAGGUCCAGUUUUCUCGGACGGUGUUGCGCCACGAUGGAGGGUCCAGUUUAAAGGUCUUCCCGGUAUGUUUUUCCAUCCACACCAUCCAUGCUCGAAAUUGCAUCUCGCGUUCUUCGGUAUUUUGUCUGAAACACCUUUUUCGAUUACGAUCUGUCCGCGACACAAUGACUAACUGAACUGACCGCGGAGGAAGAAAGUGGAGGUAUAAUAAUUUGACAAUUACCGCAGUCGUCCUCCUCGUCUUCGCCCUCGGCGCAGUCUUUUGUUAGGUCACAGACACGUGUUCUGUUUAAACACGAGCCAUUCUUACAGCGAUACAUGUUUUCCGUGCAUAUCGGUUCUGAGUCUGCAAAUAACGAUGCAUUUGUUUCUCUUUUCUUACGUAUAUAAGCAAGCCAAUGUUUGUUCAGUCUUUUCACUUGUUUGGAUUAUGCCGCGUCAAACUUUCUAGAUGCCUAGAAAUUUCUCGUAUUUUCCUUUCAACUGUGACCGUUGCUUUUAUUUUCUUUGACCACCGGUGGUACUAUAUUUAUGCGCGUGGUGAACGUCGUGGUAUAAUUCUAACUUGUUAUAAUUGUAUAGCGAGAUUAUAUUUUGAUAUAGAAAGGGAUAUUGAAUUCGUUUAAAUGAAAAAUUAUAAUUUUGUUUCGUUGUGUAUAGAAAAUGUGUAAUAUCGUAAGUAUUGUAGUUAUAAUUUAUAAAACAGUAAUAAUAGAACGUGUAAUGAUGACUACUAUUGUAACGUAUAGAAAAGAAAUGGGGAUUAUUUAAAAAAUUUAUAUACGUGGGAAAUAUUGAAAAAUACUGUAAAAUUUCAUUAUUAGAAUGUCUUUUUAUCUGCAAAUUUAUGGAAAUAAAAAGAGCUUUUUACAAAAAAAAUAAAUGCAAUAAAAUUUAAAGAUUAAUUAAAAAUUAUUUUGGAAAAUAUUUAGUUAUAUUUUUAAAUUUUCAAUAUGACCCACAUAUAAGAAAAAUCAAUAAAUUUGUUGCAAUAUAAGAAUUUUUAAUAAUUCAUAAUUACCCGAAAAACAUUCGAUUAGUUGAAUAUUAUCAAUAGCGAUGCUAGAAUUAGAAUAGGGUACUAUCAUCUCUAUAAUUAACUGAUGUGGUUGAGAGAUAGUACCUAUUGUAAAACGCAUUUUCUCCCAUCUGUAAUUUAACAGAUAAAUUCCAAUUUUUAUCGAAAAAUAUUUUUAAUUAUUAUUACAAUAACAAUUAAGCAAUCGUUGAAAAAUUACGUACUUUGUAUGAUUAUUUCCUUGCCUCUCCGCGGCAAUCCAACUUGUAUUGUUUGUAAUUAUGAGUAAUUUGAUAAUACCAUUGCUCAUUUCAACUUGAUAUAGAGCUAAUUCUAAUAUGCAACGUGGUCCAGUUGGAGAGAUUUUACUGGACCAUAUUUGAGGUUUCCCGUAGCCAGUAAACCAUAAGAAAUGCCCUAGUGGAAAUCGAAAUUAAUAUCUUAGGUAUUUCAUUUUUUCGCCACAUUUUCUCCACAGAUUUUUUCUCUUUUAUCUUAAAUUGCUAUAAAUAUUGUUUAAAUUAUUUAUUUAAAAUUGACUUUCUACUUUUGAAUAUUUUGGAUAUAGAGUAAAUAAAUUUAAAAAAUAUCUCAGUACUCUCAAUUGAGUAUUCACGUAGAUUUUUAGGAUUUAAAAUUCUAAUUAACUCGUGAGAGUGAAGUAAUUAAUCACGUAUCUCACACAUCUUACCCUCAGUAGAAUUACUGGCAUCCAUGUUAGGCCCCAAUUUAUUUCGCAAGGGUGGGCUGGUUUUCUUGAAACUGUCCAAUUGAUUCCACGACCAAUUGCAAGUCUUUUCCAGAUCGCAGGCGUAUUGAGACUCGUGGCUCGUGAUCUGCAUGUUGUUGUUGGUCCCACGCGGCAUUCUCUCUUUCCAAUCGCAGUUUGUACCCGUGAUAUAACAAAGGCCAAGAAAAAUUCUCAACAAUAGGUUACCGCUUAAGGCGAAUUUACGCCGCCAGUCAUGCACGGUGCGACUCGCCUGUUUGAAAUUCGCGGUCAACACCUCGGAUCGCGUAUCACUGAUCAUUACUCCGCGCUUUCCUCGUGUAACCGCUCGAUAUAUCCUGAAAAGUUACGUGGUAAUAAUAAUAGCCGGACGCCAUUUUGAGCAUCUAAUUCUCGGAUGCAAUCGCAGAUUUGGCUUUCUUUAUCAUUAGAUGCAUGCGUGAUCGAGCAAUUGAGCAAUUGCGUUCGAAACCUUUGAACAUCGAGCAGAGAGAUUUCCAACAAUCUCUAUGAUUACUUUUACAAUUGCAGUUCAAACUUUUGCGGUUUCGCGUUUGCUGGAAGCCUUUCGAUAGACGAAAAAAUUGGAGAUUUUUUAUAUUUUUAUGAUUUUUUUAAAAAUUGAACAGCUUGCAUUGAAAGGAGGAUCAAUAACAACUUUAAGGAAAUUAAAGAAAAAAAAUAUAAUAUAGAAUUCAAUUAAAAAUAUAUUUGCCUUCCUUAGCUUUAUAAAAGAAAAUUUAUUAUUAUAGAUUAUAUUAAGCGAAUCGAAAAAUAAGAGUAUGUAUACAUAAAGCAAAGAAAAUUACUUGUGAAAACAAGGGAACGAACUGGAUGUUGAAACGAAGCUGUGAUUGGCGGAAAUGGAAUAACUGAUUCGCCGAUAUUUCAUAAUUUCCGGUAUGCCGGUAAUAACGAAGACAUCCUUGGUAAUGGUAAUACCAAUAGAGAAAUUUAUUCGAAUGUCAUUUUGUAUUCGUAGAAUACGUAGAUUUUAUUCUACCAUUUUUUCCUAUUAUUGUUUCUCUAAUUUUAAAAUAGAGCAGUUAAGUAUAAAGUAUAUAUUCUUCAAGAAAGGAUAUAUAUCACAUUAGGAAUUUAAAUAUGAUAUCAAUUUUUUUCUAAUAUUGAUUUCUACAAAUUUCAAUGAAUACCAAUACGAAUGAAUUUAUAAUUUUUUUCUUCUAUUAAAAAUUUCAUAUAAAAUUA